Molecule: small nuclear RNA, 108 nt
Organism: Nannospalax galili (Upper Galilee mountains blind mole rat)
Lineage: Eukaryota; Metazoa; Chordata; Mammalia; Rodentia; Spalacidae
Source: Ensembl
GUUUCUCUCUUCAGGAACAUAUAUAACAAAAUUGGAACAAUACAGAGAAGAUCAGCAUGUUUCCUGGGCAAGGGUGACAUGCAACUUUGUGAAAUGUUCCAUAUUUGG